This 392-nucleotide ribosomal RNA is filed under the name uncultured bacterium. RNAcentral's name for it is "partial 16S ribosomal RNA". It matches the Rfam family "Bacterial small subunit ribosomal RNA", at positions 523 to 918 of the family's 1533-position model. The record is from RNAcentral.
AUACGGAGGAUCCGAGCGUUAUCCGGAUUUAUUGGGUUUAAAGGGUGCGCAGGCGGCCAUUUAAGUCAGCGGUUAAAUCGUGGGGCUCAACCCCAUUCUGCCGUUGAUACUGGGUGGCUUGAUUGCGGUCGAGGUUGGCGGAAUUCGUUGUGUAGCGGUGAAAUGCAUAGAUAUGACGAAGAACACCGAUUGCGUAGGCAGCUGACCAGACCGCAAAUGACGCUCAUGCACGAAAGUGCGGGGAUCGAACAGGAUUAGAUACCCUGGUAGUCCGCUCAGUAAACGAUGAAUACUUGUUUUCGGCGAUAUAAUGUCGGAGGCAAAGCGAAAGCGAUAAGUAUUCCACCUGGGGAGUACGCCGGCAACGGUGAAACUCAAAGGAAUUGACGGGG